GCAUUAAUGGGGUAGUGGUAACCUGGGUCGUUGCCAUCCGAGUGAAAACUCGACCCGCCGGGGGUUCGAUUCCCUCUUAAUGCA
Non-coding RNA from Coprinopsis marcescibilis, 84 nucleotides. The record is from the annotation of a GenBank genome assembly. NCBI's taxonomy places the organism in Eukaryota, Fungi, Basidiomycota, Agaricomycetes, Agaricales, Psathyrellaceae.